UUCCUUCUCGGAGCUUUUGCUAUAAUACGCAAGUGCCUGGUUUCUUUCAUCUUUGGCCAUCAGUUGCCUGCUACUUCUCCUGGUUAGCUCAGUUGCUGCUCCAUGAAGUUUGUGUGAUCGCUCAUCUCAAGAGCUCUGUAGUGUAGGUUUCCUAAUCUCCUUUUGUGCCAAAAUAGAAGCUAGAGAAGCGGAGAAGAGAGCUUAAAGGUACAGCAUUUGCAGCUUAAAGGGUUUUAUUUUGUUCAAACUAUGGAUCCAAAUUCGAAGAGGAAGAGGGAGUCGCACGAAUCGCUAUCCGAGUCAACUCGUUCAUCUCCAUUUCCUGAUGAGGUACUGGAGCGGGUUCUGGGUCUUUUGAAAUCUAACAAGGACCGGAGUUCAGUUUCUCUUGUAUGCAAGGAUUGGUACAACGCGGAGAGCUGGUCGCGCACUCAUGUUUUUAUCGGAAACUGUUAUUCCGUUUCUCCUGAGAUCGUUGCCCGUCGGUUCCCCAAAAUCCGGAGCGUUACUCUCAAAGGGAAGCCCAGAUUCUCGGAUUUCAAUUUGGUCCCUAGGAAUUGGGGUGCUGAUAUCCAGUCUUGGCUUGUCGUUUUUGCCUCCAAAUACCCAUUUCUAGAGGAGCUUAGGCUUAAAAGAAUGUCUGUCACUGACGAGAGUUUGGAGUUUUUGGCUCUCAACUUCCCCAACUUUAAAGCUCUAUCGCUUCUGAGCUGUGAUGGAUUCAGUACCGAUGGCAUAGCAGCCAUUGCUACUCAUUGCAAGAAUUUGACUGAGCUUGACAUACAGGAGAAUGACAUUGAUGAUAAGAAUGGGAAUUGGUUGAGCUGCUUUCCUGAAAACUUUUCAUCAUUGGAAGUACUUAGUUUUGCCAACCUGAAUAGUGAAGUCAAUUUUGAUGCACUUGAGAGACUAGUAAGUAGGUGCAAAUCAUUAAGGGUUCUGAAGGUCAACAAAACUGUUUCCUUGGAACAGCUGCAAAGGCUUCUUGUUUGCACCCCACAAUUAACAGAGCUCGGUACUGGCUCUUUUUCCCAAGAGCUCACUGCCCGCCACUACACUGAGCUUGAAAAUACAUUCAACCAUUGCAAGAAACUUGAUACCCUUUCUGGUUUAUGGGAAGCAAUGGCACCAUAUUUACCAACUCUCUACCCUGCUUGUACCAGCUUGACUUUCUUAAAUUUGAGUUAUGCUAUUUUGCAAAGUCUUGAACUUGCUAAUCUUCUUCAUCACUGCCCACAGCUUCGUCGCCUCUGGGUCCUGGACACUGUAGAGGACAAAGGUCUGGAGGCUGUUGGAUCAAACUGUCCUUUGCUGGAGGAACUCCGAGUCUUCCCUGCUGAUCCCUUUGAUGAAGAUAUUAUCCAUGGGGUGACUGAAGCAGGGUUUGUUGCUGUGUCUUAUGGUUGUCGGAGACUUCAUUAUGUUCUCUAUUUUUGCCGGCAGAUGACUAAUGCUGCAGUAGCAACAAUUGUGCAAAACUGCCCAAAUUUCACCCACUUCCGUCUCUGCAUCAUGAAUCCAGGUCAACCAGAUUACAUUACAAAUGAACCCAUGGAUGAGGCUUUCGGUGCAGUUGUGAAGACUUGCUCUAAACUUCAGAGACUUUCAGUCUCAGGUCUCUUGACUGACCUGACAUUUGCGUAUAUUGGGAGGUAUGCCAAAAAUUUGGAAACUCUCUCAGUAGCUUUUGCAGGCAGCAGUGACUGGGGGAUGCAAUGUGUGCUGGGAGGUUGUCCAAAAUUGAGGAAACUUGAGAUAAGGGAUUGUCCAUUUGGAAAUGCAGCACUUCUAUCAGGUUUGGAAAAAUAUGAAUCUAUGAGGUCACUUUGGAUGUCAUCCUGCAAUGUGACGAUGAAUGGCUGUCGGCUAUUGGCAAGGGAGAUGCCGAGAUUGAAUGUGGAGGUGAUGAAAGAGGAGGGGAGUGAUGACAGUCAGGCUGAUAAAGUUUAUGUUUACCGUUCUGUUGCAGGGCCAAGAAGGGAUGCCCCUCCUUCUGUCCUCACUCUUUGAGAUCUAUCAUUUAGGUUCCAUAAAAGCCAUGAUGCAAUCCAUAUUUGUGAUGUGGAUGGUGAGAAAGAAGAUGAGAAGCGUCAAUGAAACUUUGCAUUCAUUCUUGUACUGUUGCUUGCUCUCUCACACAGAGAAUUGUGGUAUGUGCCAGUGACAAAGAUACAAUGAAGAUAGACUCUCAUUCAUCAACAAUGUCCAGUGGAGCAAACAAGUAUGGUUCAUCUACUUGAUUUACAAUGCCCCUGGAUAGCAGAAGCAAGACUGCCAAUGUAGAAGUAGAUAAAGCAGCCAUGGUAAUGGGCCACAAAGGAACCAAAAUCUGUCCCAAUUAUACAUUGCCAUCCAGGUCUCUGCAUCCUGUCAAAAUCCUGCAGUACACUACAAAAAAAGGGGUAUCUGUGAUGGAAUUUGCAAUGGACAUGACAUCCAUCGCAAAGGAAAUGAAUUAGCGAUGGAGUUAGAGAUGGAUCAGGAACAGAUAUCCUUUGAAGAAAUUUCCAAUGGAGUUAUGAUGGAUUAGCAACAGAUAUUGGAACUGAUUAGCAACAUAUUUUUCCCAUUGCAAGUCUGUCAGAAAAGCCUAAUAAAUUCUGAAUCCCUAAAUCAUUUCUUUCCAAAAAACAUUUUGGAAUUAUUUCUUCAAUCUGCUGCUUCUCUCCCUUAUUGAGUUGACUAAGCUGAGAACUCCCACCUUGAGGUGCCACAUGCUUGUUGUUGACUGGUAGCUGUGUUCUUCGCUGGAAAUCAUGCGUUACAAUGGUCUAUCACAAUCCAACGUAUCAGCUCCAUUCCUCCUGCAUUUCCUUUCCCGAAUUGCUGACAGUAAUGGGAUUGCCAACCUCCGGAACACUGGGAAAAGUGGGUUUCUCAGAGCUAACGACUUCCAAGGAAACAACAAUCCAAUUUGAGCAAGUUCAACAACUGAUAGAAGAAAAUUCUUCUAUCAGAUCAAAAUGAGAGCAGAGAUACUAGAGGCGAAGCAGAAGAAGAUUAUAUCCACAAUGGGAGUCAAAAAGCAACAUCUCCACAGCUAACUCAGUUCAGACUCCAUUUGUCCACUAUAUGUUUUUUUAGUUAUGAAUUGUCUUAAUAAAUUUACAGGGAAUAUUAAAAUAAACAAUAAAAUGAAAUUGAUAAAUAAUGUCAUUUUGGGACAGAUGUGCAA
Molecule: RNA transcript, 3175 nt
Organism: Manihot esculenta (cassava)
Lineage: Eukaryota; Viridiplantae; Streptophyta; Magnoliopsida; Malpighiales; Euphorbiaceae
Gene name: protein TRANSPORT INHIBITOR RESPONSE 1
Exons: 7
Source: RefSeq, a predicted model, not a curated record